GAUGAACGCUAGCGGCAGGCCUAAUACAUGCAAGUCGAACGGCCCCGACACUUCGGUGUCGGGGUAGUGGCGCACGGGUGCGUAACGCGUACACAACAUACCCUUUACAGGGGGAUAGCGGCGGGAAACUGCCAGUAAUACCCCAUGUCCUUGCGAGGUGGCAUCAUUUUGCAAAGAAAGUUCAAGCGGUAAAGGAUUGGUGUGCGUCCGAUUAGCUAGUUGGCGGGGUAACGCCCACAAGGCGACGAUCGGUAGGGGGGUGUGAGAGCAUGGGCCCCCCCACACGGGUACGUNAGACACGGACCCGACUCUACGGGAGGCAGCAGUAAGGAA
This 333-nucleotide ribosomal RNA is filed under the name uncultured bacterium. Its description in RNAcentral is "bacterial SSU rRNA". It matches the Rfam family "Bacterial small subunit ribosomal RNA", at positions 28 to 361 of the family's 1533-position model. The record is from RNAcentral.